UCCUGUGUGGCUCAGUUGGUAGAGCAUGGUGUUUGCAACGCCAGGGUUGUUAGUUCAAUUCCCAUGGGCG
This is a non-coding RNA of Salmo salar (Atlantic salmon), 70 nucleotides long. Lineage: Eukaryota; Metazoa; Chordata; Actinopteri; Salmoniformes; Salmonidae. The record is from Rfam.